GAUUAAUUUUUUAGAGGCGUUACAAAAUAUUCUACUCGAGAAAUACUUUACUUAAUUCAUAAUUAAUCGCGAAGAGUUAGAAUUUGAGAAAAAGAGCCAAGAAACAUUCUAAUUGACAAAAUUCUACUUAUUUCAUAAUUAUUUCAAAGAGAAAAAAAAUGAAAUAUUCUACUUGAAUUAAAGAGAAACCUAUUUAAACUAAGUGGUACACUUGAAUUUAAGAAGAAAAUACAUGCGUCGUGCUGCUAGGCGAAGCAACCUGAAUGCUGCACCCUAGUUGGCGAAAGUCCAGUAGCCGAAAGUGUCAUUAGCUUACACUCUGACCCGAGUAGCAUGGGGCACGUGGAAUCUCCUGUGAAUCAGCAAGUACCACCUUGCAAGGCUAAAUACUCCUGGGUGAUCGAUAGCGAAGUAGUACCGUGAGGGAAGGGUGAAAAGAACCCCAUCGAGGAGUGAAAUAGAACAUGAAACCGUAAGCUCCCAAGCAGUGGGCGGAGCCAGGGCUCUAAUCACCUGCCUGUUGAAGAAUAAGCCGGCGACUCAUAGGCAGUGGCUUGGUUAAGGAAACCCACCAGAGCCGUAGCGAAAGCGAGUCUUCAUAAGGCAAUUGUCAUUGCUUAUGGACCCGAACCUGGGUGAUCUAUCCAUGACCAGGAUGAAGCUUGGGUGAAACUAAGUAGAGGUCCGAACCGACUGAUGUUGAAGAAUCAGUGGAUGAGUUGUGGUUAGGGGUGAAAUGCCACUCGAACCCAGAGCUAGCUGGUUCUCCUCGAAAUGCAUUGAGGCACAGUAGUUGACUGGACAUCUAAGGGUAAAGCACUGUUUCGGUGUGGGGCGCGAGAACAGUACCAAAUCGAGGCAAACUCUAAAUACUAGGAAUGGCCUUAAAAAGGAGAGAUCAAAGUCGGCAAGUGAGAUAAUGAGGGAUAAACUUCAUCAUCGAGAGGGAAACAGCCCGGAUCACCAGCUAAGGCCCCUACAUGACCGCUCAGUGAUAAAGGAGGUAGAGGUGCGAAGACAGCCAGGAGGUUUGCCUAGAAGCAGCCACCCUUGAAAGAGUGCGUAAUAGCUCACUGAUCGAGCGCUCUUACGCCGAAGAUGAACAGGGCUAAGCGAUCUGCCGAAGUUGUGGGGUGUAAAAAUACAUCUAUAGGGGAGCAUUCCGCCUUAGAGAGAAGCCUCCGCGCGAGCGGUGGUGGACGAAGCGAAAGCGAAAAUGUUGGCUUGAGUAACGCAAACAUUGGUGAGAAUCCAAUGCCCCAAAAACCUAAGGGUUCCUCCACGGAGGGUGAGUCAGGGCCUAAGAUCAGGCCGAAAGGCGUAGUCGAUGGACAACAGGUGAAUAUUCCUGUACUACCCCUUGUUGGUUCCAAGGGACGGAGGAGGCUAGGUUAGCCGAAAGAUGGUUAUCGGUUCAAGAACGUAAGGUGUCCCUGCCCUUUUUUCAGGGUAAGAAGGGGUAGAGAAAAUGCUUCGAGCCAAUGUUUGAAUACCAGACGCUAUGGCGCUAAAGUAACCCAUGCUAUACUCCUAGGAAAAGCUCGAACGACUGUGAGCACGAGGGUACCUGUACCCAAAAUCGACACAGGUGAGUAAGUAGAGAAUACUUAGGGACGCGAGACAACUCUCCGUUCGAAUUAACUGAAUAUUAAUCAUAGAGGAAUGGGGGUAGAAUAGAAAAUGGGGGUCUAGGGCGAGAGUAUUAUACAAGAUACUUAAAUGAUUACUUAAAUUUGCAAUAUACUUUAGAAAAAUCGUUGUAUUUUACUAUGACUUUGCUUUACUAUUACUUUAUUUUCUUAAUUUUAAUCUUUUACUUUUAGAAUUGGAUUUCAAGUUAGUAACUUCUAUUUUAUCCUUUCUUCGUUUUGAAUCGAAAAUAGAAGAGUUGAGUAAAUCAAAAAUCCAAAGGAGGUUCAUGGCCAAGGGGUGCCUUUUCAUAUCACAAAGGGGGUCGCAGUGACCAGGCCCGAGUGACUGUUUACCAAAAACACAGGUCUCCGCAAAGUCGUAAGACCAUGUAUGGGGGCUGACGCCUGCCCAGUGCCAGAAGGUCAAGAAAGUUGGUGACUUGAUGACAAGGGAGCCGGUGACCGAAGCCCCGGUGAACGGUGGUCAUAACUAUAACGGUCCUAAGGUAGCGAAAUUCCUUUUCGGGUAAGUUCCGACCCGCACGAAAGGCGUAACGAUCUGGGCACUGUCUCAGAGAGAGGUUCGGUGAAAUAGACAUAUCUAUGAAGAUGCGGACUACCUACACCUGGACAGAAAGACACUAUGAAGCUUCAUUGUUCCCUGGGAUUGGCUUUGGGCCUUUCUUGCACAGCUUAGGUGAAAGGCGAAGAAGGCCUCCUUCCGGGGGGCCCGAGCCAUCAAUGAGAUACCACUCUGGAAGGGCUAGAAUUCUAACCUUAUGUCAGGACCUACUGGCCAAAGGACAGUCUCAGGUAGACAGUUUCUAUAGGGCGUAGGCCUCCCAAAAGGUAGCGGAGGCAUACAAAGGUUUCUUCGGGCCGGACGAAGAUUGGCCCUCAAGUGCAAAGGUAGAAGGGAGCUUGACUGCAAGACCUACCCGUCGACCAGGGACGAAAGUCGACCUUAGUGAUCCGACGGUGCCGAGUGGAAGGUUUGUCGCUCAACGGAUAAAAGUUACUCUAGGGAUAACAGGUUGAUCUUCCCCAAGAGCUCAUAUCGACGGAAAGGUUUGGUACCUCGAUGUCGGCUCUUCUCCACCUAGGGCUGUAGUAUGUUCCAAGGGUUGGGUUGUUCGCCCAUUAAAGCGGUACGUGAGCUGGGUUCAGAACGCCAUGAGACAGUUCGGUCCAUAUCUGGUGUGGGCAUUAGAGCAUUGAGAGGACCUUUCCCUAGUACGAGGGGACUGGGAAGGGUGCACCUCUGGUGUACCAGUUAUCGUGCCCACGGUAAACGCUGGGUAGCCAAGUGCGGAAUAGAUAACUGCUGAAAGCAUCUAAGUAGUAAGCCCAACCCAAGAUGAGUGUUCUCCUAUUCCAACUUCCCCAGAGCUUCCGGUAGCACAACUGAGACAGAGACGGGUUCUCUGCCCCUGUGGGGAUGGAGCGACAGAAGUGUUUUCGAGAAUUCAAGCGAAAGUCACAGCGAGACAAGCCGUUUAUCAUUACGAUAAGUGUCAAGUGGAAGUGCAGUGAUGUAUGCAGCUGAGGCAUCCUAACAGACCGGUAGACUUGAACCU
Capsicum annuum is the source of this 3208-nucleotide non-coding RNA. The record is from Rfam. Lineage: Eukaryota; Viridiplantae; Streptophyta; Magnoliopsida; Solanales; Solanaceae.